RNAcentral lists this ribosomal RNA (934 nucleotides) under Rutstroemia bulgarioides. RNAcentral's name for it is "SSU rRNA". It matches the Rfam family "Eukaryotic small subunit ribosomal RNA", at positions 154 to 1096 of the family's 1831-position model. The record is from RNAcentral. Lineage: Eukaryota; Fungi; Ascomycota; Leotiomycetes; Helotiales; Rutstroemiaceae.
AAUUCUAGAGCUAAUACAUGCUAAAAAUCUCGACUUCGGAAGGGAUGUAUUUAUUAGAUAAAAAACCAAUGCCCUUCGGGGCUCCCUGGUGAUUCAUAAUAACUUAACGAAUCGCAUGGCCUUGUGCCGGCGAUGGUUCAUUCAAAUUUCUGCCCUAUCAACUUUCGAUGGUAGGAUAGUGGCCUACCAUGGUAUCAACGGGUAACGGGGAAUUAGGGUUCUAUUCCGGAGAGGGAGCCUGAGAAACGGCUACCACAUCCAAGGAAGGCAGCAGGCGCGCAAAUUACCCAAUCCCGACACGGGGAGGUAGUGACAAUAAAUACUGAUACAGGGCUCUUUUGGGUCUUGUAAUUGGAAUGAGUACAAUUUAAAUCCCUUAACGAGGAACAAUUGGAGGGCAAGUCUGGUGCCAGCAGCCGCGGUAAUUCCAGCUCCAAUAGCGUAUAUUAAAGUUGUUGCAGUUAAAAAGCUCGUAGUUGAACCUUGGGCCUGGCUGGCCGGUCCGCCUCACCGCGUGCACUGGUCCGGCCGGGCCUUUCCUUCUGGGGAGCCGCAUGCCCUUCACUGGGUGUGUCGGGGAACCAGGACUUUUACUUUGAAAAAAUUAGAGUGUUCAAAGCAGGCCUAUGCUCGAAUACAUUAGCAUGGAAUAAUAGAAUAGGACGUGUGGUUCUAUUUUGUUGGUUUCUAGGACCGCCGUAAUGAUUAAUAGGGAUAGUCGGGGCAAUCAGUAUUGCGUUGUCAGAGGUGAAAUUCUUGGAUUUACGCAAGACUAACUACUGCGAAAGCAUUUUGCAAGGAUGUUUUCAUUAAUCAGUGAACGAAAGUUAGGGGAUCGAAGACGAUCAGAUACCGUCGUAGUCUUAACCAUAAACUAUGCCGACUAGGGAUCGGGCGAUGUUAUCUUUUUGACUCGCUCGGCACCUCACGAGAA